UGGGGAAUUUUGGACAAUGGGGGCAACCCUGAUCCAGCAAUGCCGCGUGUGUGAAGAAGGCCUUCGGGUUGUAAAGCACUUUUGUCCGGAAAGAAAACGCCGUGGUUAAUACCCGUGGCGGAUGACGGUACCGGAAGAAUAAGCACCGGCUAACUACGUGCCAGCAGCCGCGGUAAUACGUAGGGUGCAAGCGUUAAUCGGAAUUACUGGGCGUAAAGCGUGCGCAGGCGGUCCGCUAAGACAGAUGUGAAAUCCCCGGGCUUAACCUGGGAACUGCAUUUGUGACUGGCGGGCUAGAGUAUGGCAGAGGGGGGUAGAAUUCCACGUGUAGCAGUGAAAUGCGUAGAGAUGUGGAGGAAUACCGAUGGCGAAGGCAGCCCCCUGGGCCAAUACUGACGCUCAUGCACGAAAAGCGUGGGGGAGCAAACAGGAUUCAGAUACCCUGGUAGUCCACGCCCUAAACGAUGUCAACUAGUUGUCGGGUCUUCAUUGACUUGGUAACGUAGCUAACGCGUGAAGUUGACCGCCUGGGGAGUACGGUCGCAAGAUUAAAAACU
This 557-nucleotide ribosomal RNA is filed under the name uncultured bacterium. RNAcentral describes it as "partial 16S ribosomal RNA". It matches the Rfam family "Bacterial small subunit ribosomal RNA", at positions 355 to 901 of the family's 1533-position model. The record is from RNAcentral.